RNAcentral lists this non-coding RNA (1046 nucleotides) under Pongo abelii (Sumatran orangutan). The record is from RNAcentral. Lineage: Eukaryota; Metazoa; Chordata; Mammalia; Primates; Hominidae.
CAGGACUCUGCCUGCCUGUGAGCCCCGGAUACAGGGACUAAGGCAGCAGGGGUGAGAGCAGGGAGCAGGCAGUUCCUCACCUUUCAGGAUGGGGGCGGCCAUGACAGACGGCGGGAUCCGGCCGGCUGGACUGCGCGGUGCUUGAGAGCCUGGCAGCGCGGGCGGGAACUGGGCAUGCGCGGGGAGAGCGCGCCGCUUUCACCGCGCUUGGCUGAACCCGCGUUUCCGGGAUUUCUUUGUAGUGACUUAGAAGCUACCCGGCGCCUCAUCUGGGCUCACCUGAGCUGAGGAUCAGGAAGGGGAGGGGCCACAGUCAUUGCCUCGCGGGCGCGGCGGGACCCCCGCGGAUGGCUUUGUGCGGACUUUCGGCACCGUUAUGCCUGCCCCCCAGCCCGACACCACCUGGGGCCGGCACGCCACGUUACUGUUCGGGGCCGGACCCACCGCCCUGCCUGUUCCGAGGACCCGGACCUCCGAUCCCGGGGAUGGGGGACCCCGAGACCUCAGACCCCACGGAGGUUACCCUGAGACCUCAGACCCCAUGCGGGGACCCCGAGGCUUCAUACCCCCACAGGAGGACCCCAAGACCUCAGACCCCACAGGAUGACCCCGAAAUCUCAGAACCCCGCAGGAGGACCUCGAGACCUCAGAUCCCCAGUAAGGGAGUGAAUGAGACUUCGGAUCCCUGAAGCAGCAAAUCCCUGUGGGGGCAUCCCAGGACUCAGGUCACCGCGGGGUGAACCCAGACCUCACAUUCGGGCAAUCCCCAGGCCGCCGAUCGGCCGGGCAUUACCCACUAUCCCGGCCACCCCCCGGAGCUCAAAGGUUUGGCCCUCCAGCUGCUCCGCCCUGCCGGCUCCCAGGCUCAAACCUCCAGCCCGCGGAUCCCCGCCCCGGAAGCAACCAGGUUCGCGGGAGGUUACCUGAUUAGUCCAAGGUGAUACAGCUGGUAACUGAUGGAGAUGUUGGUACUGAAAUUCACGUACUUUUAGUUCUUUCUAUUGAAUCUAGAGGUAGAAUACAUGUACAAGAAUAUCAGCUACCGU